GUCACAAUGAGAACUCUGAUGCGCGAUGCCGCGUGAGUGAAGAAGGCCUUUGGGUUGUAAGCUCUUUUGUAGGGGAAGAUAAUGACUGUACCCUAAGAAUAAGGUCCGGCUAACUUCGUGCCAGCAGCCGCGGUAAUACGAAGGGACCUAGCGUAGUUCGGAAUUACUGGGCGUAAAGCGCGCGUAGGCCGUUGAGUUAGUUAAUUGUGAAAUCCCAAAGCUUAACUUUGGAACUGCAAUUAAAACUGCUCGACUAGAGUUUGAUAGAGGAAAGCGGAAUACAUAGUGUAGAGGUGAAAUUCGUAGAUAUUAUGUAGAACACCAGUUGCGAAGGCGGCUUUCUGGGUCAACACUGACGCUGAGGCGCGAAAGUAUGGGUAGCAAAGAGGAUUAGAUACCCUCGUAGUCCAUACCAUAAACGAUGAUUGCUAGAUGUUGGAAAUUUAUUUUCAGUAUCGCAGCUAACGCAUUAAGCAAUCCGCCUGGGGAGUACGACCGCAAGGUUAAAACUCAAAUGAAUUGACGGGGACCCGCACAAGCGGUGGAGCAUGUGGUUUAAUUCGAAG
This 566-nucleotide ribosomal RNA is filed under the name uncultured bacterium. RNAcentral's name for it is "bacterial SSU rRNA". It matches the Rfam family "Bacterial small subunit ribosomal RNA", at positions 364 to 956 of the family's 1533-position model. The record is from RNAcentral.